Anser brachyrhynchus (Pink-footed goose) is the source of this 1585-nucleotide long non-coding RNA. The record is from Ensembl. Lineage: Eukaryota; Metazoa; Chordata; Aves; Anseriformes; Anatidae.
AUGUCCCCGGCUGCGGGGAGCAGCGUAACGCCUCCCUUCCCCAUCCCCAGCUGCACUGCUGCGAGCUCAAGAGGCAGAGCCCUCGCUAAGCCAGAACCAAGUAUAGGAAGUCACGGUCUUAGCAAAUAUAGCUCUGGUUGCUGUCCUUGUUCGGUAUCUAAUCUUUUCUUUUUUAAAUGUUUGGCAAGCAGUCCCUGCAACACGUGGCAGUGUGCUCCACCACUUGGAGUCGAUGCCUUUGUUUGGGACAGCUCCUGGUCAGCCUGCAGACGUCCCUCCCGGCCAGCCUGCUCUCAGGAUUGUGGUGUGACAGCAGUGACCCCGCGUGAGGUUUCUUUGAAGGACCCAGGAGCCCGUGUGGUUUUCUCUUGUCCCUUGGAGGUGCUUCCCUGGCAGGGAGGGAGGGAAAAUGGUUGGAAAUGUUGCCUCAGCAAGCAUGCCCAACUGGGGAGGGGAAAAUACGGCAUCAAAAAGCCACUUGAUGCAGGGUUUGAGGGAAGGGGGGUUCUUUCCUCCCCAAAGUGGAUGCCUGUGGAGUGCUUUAAAAAGGUACAGACAAGUAGUUCCUGCUCGUUGGGCUUUUGACCAGUUAAAACAAAGAGCUAAGCCCAUUUCCAUGGAGAAAUGUGUGGUGGAAAACUCUGGUGGAGUACAUUAGCAAUGCCUUUUCUUGUGCAUGUGUGUGUGGCUUGGUCACAUGCUUUAAAUAAUAGAUGGUUUGCACGCAAAAGAUUUAUUUAUUUAUUUUUAAUCAGUAGAUCUCAAUUUGGCAGAGCAGUGUAACACCCAUCAUCACUGGGGAAACUGAGGCACGGGGCCACGAAGGGAUCAGCCUGCAGCCGCGCGGCAGAGCUGGGGAUAAGACCCAGGUUUGCAGAGGCUCAAGUUGAUGUGCGUCAGAGGUCUGAUUAAAUCAAGAGAUUUGCAAGUUUAAGUGACCUAUAGCUCGAUGACUUUGACCAGUUGCUGCCAGAAGGUUACAGCCGCCCUGGGCAGGGUCCUGCCAGACCGGGCAGCACCUUGCAAGGUGCCCACCGGAGAUUAACGAGCGUGGACUAAAGGCAGAGGCGGCACAGUUGAGCUCCGCUCAUCCCAACAAAUAAGAACAUGGUUUUAAUCAAUAGAAAAGCGCCAGCAGCAAGCGGGAGGCUUUGGCCAAGGAAAAUAGUGAAAUAUUAGUCUGCUCUUUGUGGUGAAAGCAGCUAACUGGCUUAUGUGGCUUCAAAAAAAAAAAAAACAAAAGUACUAAUGGCCCUGGGUGCGUGUUCAGUUUUAUCCUGACCUCAGACUGCUCACUCGCUGCUGCUCUGAGUGUUGUGGCGGUAAUCAGUUGGGCAUUUUCGGACACAUAAACGAGUAGUAUUAUCAGCAACGCAGAGUCUCACUUUUUUUCCUGUAGGUGAAAAAAGCUACCCUCCAGGUUAAGGACGUGUAGCUCCGGGUUCAAGAGCUGCCCUUCAAGCAGGGGUGGGUCAGACCGCGGCCUUGUCAGCAGCGUUAAGUAUCAAAAUCCCUGCAACUGUAAUUUCACAUCCUGGCACGCUCUUUUCGGCACUUCGUCCUUUCACGGCGGAUGCCGGGGUGU